AGUACGGUGCAUAGACUGUACAGACAUUUUUUUCCGUUAGUUUUCAUGGUCAGAAUGAGAGAUCAGGUGGCCGAUCUUAAAAUAAAUCAAUAUUGAUUUUUUUUAUAGAGCAUUAAAGUUUUGCAAAGCGAGGAGGCGGGACUACUUGAUUGACAGUCCGGUCUGGAAUGAUUGACAGGUCCUAUGGAGGAGGCAGCAGAGACUCUGUUCUCCUCGUUUGGAUUAAUUCUGAUAUAAUAACUGUUGGUUUAUUUAUCGGUGGAGCAGCAGAACAUUUUCCAGGCAGUUUUCCUUCCCGUUGGCUUGUUUUAACCAGUUUUCUACCUUCGGCUGAUUCUACCAGCAGACACUGAAAGGACUCUGAUAGUUCGAGUGAAAGCAGCAGUUCCUCCUUAAGGUCAGAGAUUGCAGCAUCUGAGGACCUCUUCAAAAGAAGAUGUAGUUGAUGAAGGCGUUCUGGAGCAGGACCAGAAAGACCACGACCAAGCAGCCUUUACAUCUUAGGCAGCGUCUCCCUGAGGUCCCUCUCUAUCUCCACACACAUCCACCAACCACUGGAACACAUCUCCAAAGUUCUGCCGGGCCAGCUCAGCUUCCCCUCAGAAGAAGUGCUACCAGAUGAAGGAGCCUUUUGAGAGGCAGCUGGCAUCGUGAUUGGACUGUACUUUGGUCUGUUCCAAUCCAGCUUCAGCUCCAGAGACGGCAGGCGGGACGAGUCAACGGAGGCCGGGUGGACGAAGGCAUGCAGCUGAGUACAAUCCAGAAAACAACAGAGGAGGAGUGCAGUGGCCCAGGGCCAGAACAAGCAGAGUACCAUUACCAAAGAACUACAGACUCUUCACAACCUGCUCAAACUCUUGGUACAGGACCUCACCACACGGGUCAAGAAGGUUUCUGUCUCAUUUCUACUCUGAAGAUCACCUUCUCCUGCUCAAACUGCUGACAAAUGUUUCUGCUGCUCUAAAGUCUGGUCUCCAGAACUUCCUAAAAACUCUCAAAGUCUCUUCUGCUGCAGGUUGCUUUGUAGAACUGUCGCAGAAAACCUCACUAAACCACAUGGAGGGGCCUCAAGAUAGUCGUCCAAAUGAAAUCGUACAAAAACCAAACUAGCACAACCCAAACACUAAACUCUCCUGCAGCCUACCAGAGAACCUCUGAGAACAGAGAAUCAGGACAGGAACUCUUACCUUCUGGACAACCAACAUUGGUUCUCAAACAAGAAUACAGAAUGUGUCUGACCAAAAACCUCUAAAGACUCACUACAGCCAAGAUAAAGACACAACUCAGCUGCACCAAAUCCACUAAUCACUGCACACAUUAGGACCAUGUGCUAACUGUGGCUAAAGAACCACAUUUACCAAGACAACUAUCCAGUACAAAGCCAUAAAACACACCAAGAAACACAUUAAAGACGAUUUUACUGCUGGAAGCUGCAAGCCAACACCUAAAGAACAAACUGAAGCAAUGGCGCUAAACCUGAUUCAGUGGUGAAUAGAAGCAGAGGAAAUGUUUGUCUGCAGCUAAAUAAAGCAGGAAGACACUGAGCUGCUCAGGUGUUCCUGAUAACACCAAGCAGCCACCUGGACAGCCAAUAAGAACACAGCUUCCUGGAAGUCCAGAGGGCUGGGUUAGUGAAGGAAAUUUAAUUUAAAGUUGAAGCAGAAAGUUAACAAAGAAAGUUGAAAACCACCUUCUGAUACCUGAAAUCUCUGAGUUUUCACACAAAGAACACCUGAACAUGUCAAACUGGUUUCAUAGUAGAACCAUCAUUGUAAAAACGUCAUAGUAUGGUGUGUUGCUCAAAAAACAUUACGACCCGGCUGUCUAGGGUCACUGAGGAGCAACACAAAAACAGGACAAACGCUGGUUUCCAGGGGGUUAGGCGGCUAUUUAUUUGAAAGAGCAAGUUUACAACAACACAUGUGAGCAGAAAAAUCACAGUCUGUCUUUCGUUCAGCUGAAAAUAUUAGUUUUUGCCUUUUUUAUUGACCAAAUUUUUCAGGAAGUAGAUGAAGAAUAAUUAAAGCUCUCAUGUAGAAGUCCAACUUAUUUUGGCUCCUUGUGGAGAGUUUAAUCUUAGAGUUUGUACAGCUGUUUAGUUUUUAGAGUCACAUGGAUUGUUUUGUCUUCCCCUCUACCUCUUCUGUCCCUCUCAACCCGCCCGGUCAGCAGGCAGAUGGGUCCCCCCACAUUAGAGCCGGGUUCUGCUCGAGGUUUUUUUCCCUGUUAAAAGGGUGUUUUCCUUGCCACUGUCACCUUUUGGCUUGCUCUGGAGGUCAGGCAUAUUGGUUCUGUAAAGCGUCUCGAGACAAUUUGACUGUAAUUGGCGCUAUAUAAAUAAAAUUGAAUUGAAUUGAAUUUAAUAACUGAGUCCUGAAAUAAAAUUACAGUUGUGGAUUUCUGUCAUUUAGUCUGGACUAAACAAAUAACAGCAGCAUAAAUCUCAAAUGUCAUUAUGAGGAGUCUGGAUUGAGGUUUCUCACUUGAUAACGAUCAAAACAUGAAAUUUAGGUUGGUUUAAAGGAAUAUUCCACCUUAAAUCUUUGAAUGUUGACCUAAAAGGUUGGUUUCAGGAAGUAUUCCACCUACAAGGUCCUCAAACAUCCACCUUAAAGGAACAUUCUACCAAAAACCCUUGGACAUGCACCUAAAAUGUUGCUUUAACCGAGUAUUCCAUCCAAAAUCCUCAAAGAGACCUGAGGGGCUGGUUAAAAGGAAUAUUCCACCUAAAACCUCAAAUAUAGACCCGAAAGGGUUGUUUAGAAAAAAUCCUUCAGUGUAGACCAAAAAAGUUAGUAUGGAGGAAUAUUCCACCUGAAAUGUAGACCUGAGAAGUUGGUUCGGAAGAAUAUACCAUCCUAAACAUCCUUAAAUGUAGACUAAAAGACAGUUUGGAAGAGAAUUCCACCUAAAAUCCUCCAAUGUAGACCUAAAAGGUGAGUUUAAUGGUACAUUCGACAUAAAAUUCACGACUGUAGACCUUGGAGGUUAGUCUGAUGAUAUAUUCCACCCAAAAUACCAAGAAGUCAGUGUAAAGGAAAUGUAGACCUAAAAGGAUUGUUUAAAGGAAUAUUUAAACAGUUAUUUUCAUUAUUUAAUAAUCUGUUAUCAGUCAGAACCCUGGCAAACUUAUUUUCAUCAGUUUUUUAGUGGAAGUCACAAAUAAAGGAGCUCUUGGUUUUUCCCAGCGUUACUGAGUCAAAAGCUGCUGUUUCAACACAGACACGUUCACAUGCAUCCACAAACCUCUCAGCACUCAAACACCCACAGACAGGAGGCCGGCUGGACCGAGGCUCGGCGGCGUCCUCAGACCCACGAGUCGGGGAGUCGGUGAACUUGUUGGUCCGGUUUGAAGGCCUCCGUGUGGUCCAGUAGAAGUCCACGUAGUCGGUGUUGGCUUUGAACCACAGCGACUGGCCGCCAUCAGGUGGACCGGCUCGUACUCGUAGGGCUCCUCCUGUAGCCUUGAGGGAACCACAGGAACAUUCAGUAGCUGUUGGAGUUCUUCCUGUCAGGCUCGUAGUAGAACGGCUCUGAAGAAUCUUGUACUUGUCUUAUCUGGAACAAUCUAAUAGCCUAAACUGUUAACAGCGAUGUAAAGAAGCAAACACACAGGCAUAGAUUAGGACUCAAACUAGAUUUAUUUUAGAAAACAAAUCAGCUUAGAGGCAUUUGUUCACACGUGGCUGAAUAGGAGGCCGUCCAAUCAGAUUUGAGGUCUUCACUCUGUAGGUUGUUUGUUUGGUGAGACUCUUGGACCUCCAUCAGCUGACAUGGAUGUUUGAUGGUCUUCUUCUCUAGUGCCAGAUGAUUCAUCCAUGAAUUCAGCAGCUACAGACUGAAAUGAAGCUCAUGCUGCCGUUAUUGAAUUCCUGUUCCAGAUCAAAUGUUCAGAGCUCACCUUGAAUGCAGCUGUCUGCUGUCUGAUAGUUUUUCUCAUUGUAGUCUUCAAUAAAGUCUUUUUCCUCAUGUCA
Molecule: long non-coding RNA, 3974 nt
Organism: Amphiprion ocellaris (clown anemonefish)
Lineage: Eukaryota; Metazoa; Chordata; Actinopteri; Pomacentridae
Exons: 4
Source: RefSeq, a predicted model, not a curated record